CCUUUGGAACUAUGCAACAAGAUUGUAGGGCAACGGGUCAGGACGGGAACGUAGCAGCCCACCUUGCUCUCUUGUGUGCCAUAGUCUCCCGGAGGGGU
RNAcentral lists this signal recognition particle RNA (98 nucleotides) under Nitratifractor sp. RNAcentral describes it as "signal recognition particle sRNA small type". It matches the Rfam family "Bacterial small signal recognition particle RNA". From Rfam's summary of the family: The signal recognition particle (SRP) is a universally conserved ribonucleoprotein involved in the co-translational targeting of proteins to membranes. Archaeal SRP consists of a 7S RNA and homologues of the eukaryotic SRP19 and SRP54 proteins. In most bacteria, the SRP consists of a 4.5S RNA and the Ffh protein (a homologue of the eukaryotic SRP54 protein). Lineage: Bacteria; Pseudomonadati; Campylobacterota; Epsilonproteobacteria; Campylobacterales; Sulfurovaceae. The record is from RNAcentral.